RNAcentral lists this small nucleolar RNA (122 nucleotides) under Castor canadensis (American beaver). Its description in RNAcentral is "Small nucleolar RNA SNORA32 (ENSCCNG00000000434.1)". It matches the Rfam family "Small nucleolar RNA SNORA32". From Rfam's summary of the family: ACA32 is a member of the H/ACA class of snoRNA that guide the sites of modification of uridines to pseudouridines. The record is from Rfam by way of RNAcentral. Lineage: Eukaryota; Metazoa; Chordata; Mammalia; Rodentia; Castoridae.
UGAACGCGCCCGAUCUCGUCUAGAAUGCAGUUUCUCAUUUGCUGUGGACAUGACCAUAAAGAAAUUUCCCACUAGGUUUUCUAUAUGCUACUUUGUUAGCAAUCAACCUACUGGGGACACUA